AAGAGUGGGAAGGGAGGAGGAGGGGGAAAAGAGUGAAGGGUUGAGAUCCAGGAAGAAGGUAGUGGGAUGAGGAUGUUUAAGAGGAUGUGCUACCAUAAGAGAGUGUGCCAGCAUGUGUCUUACAACUACUCUCCCUGCCUCAAGGUCAAGGAAGGAUGCAGAAUAUGCUCUUCUCAGUUAGUGUACUUGUUCAGUACCUGGAAAAAAGAGACCCCUCUUGUCUUCAAGAGUAACUAACUCACUUUCUAUGUUAUGAUAGUUUACUUCAGGCUGUACAAUUGCUGCAGGACAGAGAAUAUGGAAUACAAGUUAAAAACAUUUGUUCUCUUCUAAAUGAAACACAACAAAAAGAAAGAUUUAAAGUAGGAAAAAUAAGGCAAAUGAAGAGCUGUAGAGACAGAGUAUUCAGCAAAAUGCAGCUUGAGUUGAAAUGCAUCCAUUGGUUGUGUACAGCUGGGGAAGAGUGUAUGGAACAUGGCUAUGGAGGAGCCACUUGCACCCCUCCUAGGAAACCAUUAUGCUUGAUUACCUUUCCAAAAUUUUUAUACACCAGUGUGUACAGCAUAAGGAAUAAACCGGAAGCUCAAGAUCAGUGCAUCCCUAUGAGUAAGAAGUCAAGCAAAGGAGGCAGGAGGUCUGCACAGAUUAGCAAGGAGCUCCUGGCAAAAAAUUAGAAGGAAGUAUACAAAAUGGGGGAAAAAGGGAACUUUGUCAGAGUUUACAGGGAUGUGACAUGGAAGGCUAAGGACCAUCUGGAAUUAAAUCUGGCAAGGAACAUUGAGGACUAUGAGAAGGGCUUCUUCAAACACAUUAGUAGCAAAAGGAAGACUAGGGAAAAUGUGGGCCUGCUGCUGAAAGGAGUGUGUACCCUGGUGAUGAAGGAUACUGAGAAGAUAGUUACAGAAUACCUUUCUUUGCUUCAUCUGUACUGCUAAUGCCAGCUUUCAGGAGUCCCAGGCCCCAGAGACAAGAGAGAAAGGCCGCAGAAAGGAAGACUUUCCCUUGUUUGAGGAGGAUUUGGUUAGACAUCACUUAGGCAAACUUAACACCCACAAAUUUGUGGUUCCUGAUUGGAGUCUCCUUCCCUGGAGCUGUUCAGAGGCCAUCUGAAAGUGAUCCUGUUCAAUGUGCUCCAGGUGAUAUUGAGCAAGGGGGUUGGACUAGAUGAUUUCCAGGGGUUUCUUCCAAAUAACCAUUCUGUGUUAUUCUGCAUGAAAAUAGAAAAAAAUGAAAAAUCCUUGAAUAUAUAGUUUAAUUUCUUGGCAAUAUCCCCCCUGGCAAGAAAAUCACCUUCAGAACAGUUUGCAAUAAUUAUUCCAAUACUUUUCCAGCUGAAGUCAGCCAGGACUGUUCCUCUAUAGCUACACUAAGGCUGGCCUAUUUAUGUAGCUAUACUCAGGAAAUGCUUCUAUAUGCAAGUCUAUUCACACUUGGUUGAAAAUACUGAGCACAUUUUUUUUCCUUACUUAGUGUGAUGGUUUUAUGCUUCAGAUUAUAAGUUCAAACUUGCACAGUUACUAGACUCAUAUGGUACAAAGCACAGGCCAGGCGUAGUUUGUGAACAUCUCUUUUUUAUUUAGUUUUUGGACCAUCCAAUUUUUUUAUUGUUUUAAAAACUGGCAAAUGCACAGAAAGAAAUAUCAUAGCCCCAGAGGUUAGAAAACAAAGCCAAAUGCAUGAAGGGCAGUUACCCAACCAAAAAU
This is a long non-coding RNA of Gallus gallus (chicken), 1703 nucleotides long. The record is from Ensembl. Lineage: Eukaryota; Metazoa; Chordata; Aves; Galliformes; Phasianidae.